Molecule: long non-coding RNA, 2565 nt
Filed under: Panax ginseng (ginseng)
Lineage: Eukaryota; Viridiplantae; Streptophyta; Magnoliopsida; Apiales; Araliaceae
Description: long non-coding RNA (PGIN_LNC014741)
Source: RNAcentral
AAGUCUCAAAGAAGUAGCUGAUUCAUAUUAUUAAUUUCUCAAGUCUCAAAAUCAUUCCAAUUUUAUACAGAAUCACAGACAUGAUUGCUAUAAAUUACAAUUAACAAUCAAAUGUUGAUGUUCACCGAGAAAAUGAGAGAGGCCUUUGAGACCCUUGGGAUCAGAAAAAGAUCCGAUAUAGACAUUCAUCGAAGCAGCACACUGAAAGAGCAAAUCAAAAAACAAAACAAUUCAUUAGGUUUUAUCAAUCGGAAAAAAGCCCUAAAAUUAGUAAAUUGAAACAAUUGGGGAGACCUUAUCAGUUUCUAAAGACCAAUUGAGAACUCAUGUCCACUAAAAUGGAGUUUCUUUUCAGGGCGAUCAAAACAUGGAUAGAGGAUUCUCAUUUUGGGAUGUACAAUAAAUGAAACUGAAGCCAACAAAAUAUUUUUUAAAAAAUAAAAAAUCUAUCAACGAACAAAUAACCUGUGAAAACAAAAAUUAAGCAUGGCACAGAGGAAAAACUCAGUCCGGUCAGAUUCAGGCUUGAGUAUACGUUGAUUUUUCUGAGAAUUGACCCCACAUAAAGUACUCGUGAUCAAAAUUAUUAACAUGACUGUAAUAAAAGAGAAAAAAUUACUCUACGAAAUAGUUAUAUAUUGAUUCUUAACAACAUUUAAGUUUCCUUGGUAAACCCUGGAACAAUAAUAAAUGCAUGAAAUUACAUCAACGUUAAACAUUAUGGAAAGAGCACUGAAUCAGGCAUUUCACCAUUCAGAUUACACCUGCAAUCAACUGUGAGUGUGAUAAAAAAGAAGAGCAAUGAGUGAUUGAUUUAUAGUGACUAAUAUUACAUUUGUGCCAAUUGAUGUUCAUUUUCAAACCACAAUGAACGCUCUCAAAAUUUCAAUGUCUUUCUACUCUCAGAAUACAUUUUUCUCCUCCUUAAUAAGCAAUACUCAAAAUACUUGCAGCAGUGACUGCAAUAAACUCAGCCUGGAUAUAGCCAAAUCCAUUCCAUCCUUUAUUGGUCACAUUGAGCACAUUUGCAAUCGAGUCCAUUCACUACUUGCAGAGACAUUAUUUCCAAAUGCAUCUUUAGGAAGUAUCAAAAUUGAGAACAUUAUACACAUUCCCAGAAACAAUGAAUCCACUUUAUAUUAUGACCCUAAUAAAACAAAGAAAAAUUGCAGAAAUUUUUUUCAUUCGAAAUCACACCAAAACAGAGAAAUGGACAACAGUUUGAAAAUAGGCAACUCUCAUUUUUCCAACACUACAAUUUAGCAUAUAUGGAUGUAGAAAGAUUAGAGAUUACCAACUACGCGUUCUUAAACAACGAAAUUAAACCCAAAACAAACAGCAUAAAUCCACAAAUCAAGGACCACCGGAUCGGCUGCCGUUGAGCCGGCGCCAGAGAACACCAUCUCAUGCACCAAUGCCAGCUUAAAAUUUGGUCAAACCAAAAUUCCUCCACUAUACCUCCAAUAUUUUUUCACACCCAUAGCAAACCCACUCACAGUCAACAAAUUCUCUCACUAAUCUCAUCUUCCACCUAAACAGAAUGCCACUGAAUGAGAUACAAAUGUGACCGUGAAGAAGACACUAAAACUUAAUAGAGAAAUGUUAUUUUCAGUCGGUAAAUUAUAGGCCCUUCACUUCAUGGUUAGCCCAAUAUCAUGGCUUAAACAACAACAACAAAAAAAAGAGAAAAAGAACAUAAACAAAAAUACCAAGAACAAAAUAACCAUCAAUAAAAACUAUAAAAUCGAAAUAAAUGCCUGAUGAACAAUUCUAAAGCUGUAAAACAGAAAAAAGGAUAAAACCUUUCGGUGUUUGGUAUUGAGUUAUUUGGAGACUCUGGCUUUCUCAUUCAUGGUAUUGAGUUUUUUGCUACAGUUUGUUAAUGUCAAAUCCCAUUGAAGAAAUUGUUAGAGACCCAAAUGAACAAUUAUAAAAGAGGGGGUAAAAUUUAUACUUGUAAAAGUAUAAUGGAUGUACUGUACCUUCAGUAACCUCCCCAAAGGAAGAAAAAGUAAAGCAACACAUCAACAAUGAUUUCUCGUCCAAAGCAAAGCAAAGUUUGUAAAUGUCAAUGAUUUCUUGUCCACUGAACAUGACAAACCUGUGAACCAAAGAAAAGUUCAAAGCAUAAUCUAAAUUAGAAUAUAGACAGAUUCAAACAUGACAUGAAAGAGAUGAGAAGGGGAGAGAUAAACCGGCAACAAAAAGCGGCGGAAGAAUUAGCCGUCAAUCGGUGUUCUCCAACAGUCAAUAAUUAGCCGUCGUCUGCGCACGGACGGAAGUGAGCACCAAUCAGAGCAUGAACAGAGAGUAGAGAACGGCGGAAGGGAUAAUUUUGAUUUGGGGGGUUUUGAAGGGAAGGAGACAGUAGAGUGCAAGGGAUUUUGAUUUGGGGGGCUUUUGAAAGGGAAUGAGACAGAAGAGUAUACGGGAAGGAACAAAUUUUGGUUUGGGCAGUUAAUUUUUUUUUUUGCUUUGUCUGUAAGAUGAAAUCUGGACCUUUGUUGUACUUUGAAGUGGGGAUAGAUUCAAAAAAAGUCCUGUUUUAUUAUAUAGAUAUGGUAC